GUGAUCAUUGAAUCUUGACGCACUUGCGCCCUUGCAUUCCGAGGGCACACCCGUUUGAGUGUCGUGAAAUCCUCAACCUUCUUUGUUUCUUUGAACCAAGAAGGCUUGGAAUUUGGAGGCUUCUGCUGGCCUCUUUCUUGAAGCCAGCUCCUCUUAAAUGGAUUAGCAGGUUCUGCUUAGCCAGAUCUCUUGACGUGAUAAGCCAUUUCUACGUCCUGGGUUGGGCUCUGUCUCUUGCUUACAAUUGUCUCUUUUAGAGACAUACAAUACACCCUUGACCUCAAAUCGGGUGAGACUACCCGCUGAACUUAAGCAUAUC
RNAcentral lists this ribosomal RNA (319 nucleotides) under uncultured Russula. RNAcentral's name for it is "eukaryotic LSU rRNA". The record is from RNAcentral. Lineage: Eukaryota; Fungi; Basidiomycota; Agaricomycetes; Russulales; Russulaceae.